Branchiostoma floridae (Florida lancelet) is the source of this 364-nucleotide long non-coding RNA. RefSeq lists it as uncharacterized. The record is from RefSeq and is a predicted model, not a curated record. The transcript is spliced from 3 exons. NCBI's taxonomy places the organism in Eukaryota, Metazoa, Chordata, Leptocardii, Amphioxiformes, Branchiostomatidae.
AAUGCUUCUCCGAGGCCGAAUAAGAGUGCUUGAAACUGGACAUUUUGGACACUUGACAAAGAGGACCACUGUUGAGGAUGGAAGCCUCUCACCUGUGCGUCAGGUAGAACGGAGACGACGUCGGCAGAGCCGCCACGAUCCAUCAACUUGAAGUUCGCUUCUCCGGGCCACUCCCGCGGGUUGUGAUGGAGCGGUGUGGAAGACGUGCGGUCACCGGUCACAGCCAUGGGAUUCACCCGGCGGUGGGAGGUACGCCGCACAGUAAUGCGGAAUACAUCACAUAUCCGUCACGUUUAGACUGAUAGUCGGAUAGUGUAGCCUCCACCAGGCCUUCUUACGGGGGUCGUAGAGUUCGGCAAAAAAA